GUUGAUUCCUUAGACAUUUUUCAUUUAGUAUGGGUUUGUAUGGGAUCCCGGGCUGGGCAUCUCUGGAGCAAUGUGCAGCGUCGUGUGUUUUGCUCAGUGGCGCGUUGACAUCGCCAUCAAAAUGCUUUGACGUGGUUUUUGAUUGACAGGAAACUCAUAAAUAAUUCAUGUCAUUAAAUCAUGUUACAUUUUUUUUUCAGCUUUCUGCUUCAUCUUCUUCUGCAGCAGCAGCAGCAGUCGGAGUAACGACAAUCGCAGUCGCAGUCGCAGCUUCAACAUCUUCAGCUUCCCCACUGACGUUGAGAGUCAAGAGUCGAGAGCUGAGAGUGAAGAGUGAAGAGUGGAGUCGACGGGGUCGGGGCCACGCCAUUGAAACAAGUUUCCUUGGACAACGACUGAGGUUGGGAAUAGGUGGAGUAGGAGUUGUACAGCUGGAGUGCUGGACAUUUAGCUCAGCUCAGCUCAAGCUGAGGGGCCCAGCAAUUAAAUGUGAAAACAGUUGCGUUGCCCACAGUCGCCCCAUCGAUGCAUGUUGCUUGCUGCUCUCGCUCGUAACUGUAACUCAAUUCACUCAGAUUUUCAUUUUUUUUUUUUUUUUAAUAUUACUUUUGCUGCAAACUUGAAGGAAAUAAGUUUUCAAUGAAUAUAAUUAUGCAAAGCAGGGCGAGCAGAAGGACGCGUCACACAGUUUGCCAGGACACUUGGCCGCCCCCUCGAUGGGUGGCCACAAAAAAAAAACGCAUUAAAAUUACCAGAAAGAUGGCCGAAAAAAAAUCAUUUGCUGUCAAUUGUCCUUCAGCUGGAAAAAGUCUUGACGGCGGCCUGCGCGAAGUUUUUAAUUUUUAUCAAAGAUUUUUCGGCUCAGUUUUUUAAUGAAAUUUCUGGCAUUGGUCUGCCAAAGGAUUUGGCUGCUUGUCGUGCAUAAUUUGCAUAAAUUGUUUUGAGCAGGAGCCGAAGGAGCAGCAAUUUUUAAUUUGUGAUUUUCUACAUCAGCAGCCACGCCCCCAAAGGACCAUCUUCAGCCUUCUCGCUGUAUGUGUUGCGCUUUGUUGUUGUGUCUCGAUGGUGUGUGGCGAUAAUAAUUACACGUCACGCUGCCACGCAAUCAAAACAUUAAUUGUGCAAAAUCACGGAACUGAACUGAAGCGGAAGUGAUGAAGGACUUCAGGACUUAUUGGCUGCACGCGUCCUCGUUGACGUCGCAACGACGACGACGAAAGCCACCAACAACAAAACGUAAAAAGUUUAAAAAAUUGUAUCCUCAACCGCACCCCAUUUAAAUUACAGUCAAGCCAGAGUCAGGGUUAGAAUGAGCACCAAAGCCAGUAGUCAGAGUCAAUAUACGAGUAGUAGCCUGAUCCUGGCAAGCGUCGCUGUCCCUGGGGCCGCCACUUCGCGCGUGUUAAAUUCAACGCAACGCGUGCGGUCACGUGGCGGACAGAGUUACGCCCACAAUCAUGAUAGUCGCAAUCGUUUUGCUGAGAUUUACACAAAAACACUGGCAACACAUCGAACGAUGAUUUCUGACCAAACCAAUCAGCAACGCUGACGUUAACAGUCAGAGGAGAUGGAUGUGGAGACACGGUGACGGAAAAGCAACGCGGAGCAACGACAACAGAAAAUCGUUGAAAAUUAUGUAAAUUAUUGUCAAUUUGGGGCUUGGGGAUUGUCAGUACAAGCAGUGCGAAAAUUUGCCUAAAUGCUUUAUAGCCAACUGAAGAGACAUCACGACAGUCUGUGUCCUGCUGGAAUACACAGCAGCUCCAAACUGUUGCACGCCGACAAAAUGUGACAGAAACAUAUGUUGCCACAAUCAACGACAGUAAAUCCCCGUUCCCAACUCAACGAGGAUGCAACAACCCUUUGACAGCACCACAACAUUGUGUCGAUAAGCGUAGCAAAAUGUUGGAUUUGCGGAUGGCCAAUGAGCCUAAACGA
This is a long non-coding RNA of Drosophila albomicans, 1938 nucleotides long. RefSeq lists it as uncharacterized. The transcript is spliced from 3 exons. The record is from RefSeq and is a predicted model, not a curated record. Lineage: Eukaryota; Metazoa; Arthropoda; Insecta; Diptera; Drosophilidae.